CAAAUUUUAGUUUAGUUAUUAAAAUUAUUCACUUACAUUGAAUGGAUAUAAAAUAUUUUUUUUAUAAAUUUGA
RNAcentral lists this transfer RNA (73 nucleotides) under Syrista sp. 1 GYN-2021c. RNAcentral describes it as "tRNA-Val". The record is from RNAcentral. Lineage: Eukaryota; Metazoa; Arthropoda; Insecta; Hymenoptera; Cephidae.